Molecule: ribosomal RNA, 497 nt
Filed under: uncultured bacterium
Lineage: Bacteria
Description: partial 16S ribosomal RNA
Rfam family: Bacterial small subunit ribosomal RNA
Source: RNAcentral
GAUGAACGCUGGCGGCGUGCCUAAUACAUGCAAGUCGAGCGAACAGACGAGGAGCUUGCUCCUCUGACGUUAGCGGCGGACGGGUGAGUAACACGUGGAUAACCUACCUAUAAGACUGGGAUAACUUCGGGAAACCGGAGCUAAUACCGGAUAAUAUAUUGAACCGCAUGGUUCAAUAGUGAAAGACGGUUUUGCUGUCACUUAUAGAUGGAUCCGCGCCGCAUUAGCUAGUUGGUAAGGUAACGGCUUACCAAGGCGACGAUGCGUAGCCGACCUGAGAGGGUGAUCGGCCACACUGGAACUGAGACACGGUCCAGACCCCUACGGGAGGCAGCAGUAGGGAAUCUUCCGCAAUGGGCGAAAGCCUGACGGAGCAACGCCGCGUGAGUGAUGAAGGUCUUCGGAUCGUAAAACUCUGUUAUUAGGGAAGAACAAAUGUGUAAGUAACUAUGCACGUCUUGACGGUACCUAAUCAGAAAGCCACGGCUAACUACGUG